Molecule: non-coding RNA, 415 nt
Organism: Cinara cedri
Lineage: Eukaryota; Metazoa; Arthropoda; Insecta; Hemiptera; Aphididae
Source: the annotation of a GenBank genome assembly
UUAACUAUCGAAAUUUGUUUUAUUUUAAUAUAAAUUAUAUUCGUCAUUAUUUAUUAUGUAUUAAUCAAAAUGUAGUUUUAAUUUAUCAAACUGUUUAUUGAGGUCAUCGCCGUAUGAUUAAACAAUCAAAUUUUACGAACACACGUUCUUAAUAUAACGCGCACCUAUAUCACUAUGUUAAUAAAUUAUAAAUCGGUAGGUCAAAAGACCUUCGGUAAAUACAUUAUGACAUCGUGAUCUCAUAGUUCAAUAAUCUUAAUAAUCGAAUUUCGGCACGAUUAAAAUACCAAAUACAAUAUUAUUUUCGUAACGUUCGAUAAUCGAUUUUGGCCAACUCGAGAAUUUCGAAAAACCGCCGCACAACGCGUUCUACACCUAUUACUACGCCUAAGCUGGCGCGUUGGGGAUUCGUCAA